GCCAGCAUGGUGUAGUGGUUUGAGAGUUGGACUACGAACCUGAAGACCAGGGUUCGAUUCCCUGAUCAGCCA
This is a non-coding RNA of Phrynosoma platyrhinos (Desert horned lizard), 72 nucleotides long. Lineage: Eukaryota; Metazoa; Chordata; Lepidosauria; Squamata; Phrynosomatidae. The record is from the annotation of a GenBank genome assembly.